AACCCAUGUUGUGGACACUUCCGCUAAAAGUCUUUGAAUCAUUCCCAAGUCUCUGACAAAGUUUUAAGUUCCAUCUAAACAAAUAAAGAUAUCUCAUUAAUAAGCUU
Molecule: small nucleolar RNA, 107 nt
Organism: Dioscorea cayenensis subsp. rotundata (Guinea yam)
Lineage: Eukaryota; Viridiplantae; Streptophyta; Magnoliopsida; Dioscoreales; Dioscoreaceae
Source: RefSeq, a predicted model, not a curated record